GGCCGUGCGGCAGCUAUACAUGCAGUCGUACGCUUCUUUUUCCACCGGAGCUUGCUCCACCGGAAAAAGAAGAGUGGCGAACGGGUGAGUAACACGUGGGUAACCUGCCCAUCAGAAGGGGAUAACACUUGGAAACAGGUGCUAAUACCGUAUAACAAUCGAAACCGCAUGGUUUUGAUUUGAAAGGCGCUUUCGGGUGUCGCUGAUGGAUGGACCCGCGGUGCAUUAGCUAGUUGGUGAGGUAACGGCUCACCAAGGCCACGAUGCAUAGCCGACCUGAGAGGGUGAUCGGCCACAUUGGGACUGAGACACGGCCCAAACUCCUACGGGAGGCAGCAGUAGGGAAUCUUCGGCAAUGGACGAAAGUCUGACCGAGCAACGCCGCGUGAGUGAAGAAGGUUUUCGGAUCGUAAAACUCUGUUGUUAGAGAAGAACAAGGAUGAGAGUAACUGUUCAUCCCUUGACGGUAUCUAACCAGAAAGCCACGGCUAACUACGUGCCAGCAGCCGCGGUAAUACGUAGGUGGCAAGCGUUGUCCGGAUUUAUUGGGCGUAAAGCGAGCGCAGGCGGUUUCUUAAGUCUGAUGUGAAAGCCCCCGGCUCAACCGGGGAGGGUCAUUGGAAACUGGGAGACUUGAGUGCAGAAGAGGAGAGUGGAAUUCCAUGUGUAGCGGUGAAAUGCGUAGAUAUAUGGAGGAACACCAGUGGCGAAGGCGGCUCUCUGGUCUGUAACUGACGCUGAGGCUCGAAAGCGUGGGGAGCAAACAGGAUUAGAUACCCUGGUAGUCCACGCCGUAAACGAUGAGUGCUAAGUGUUGGAGGGUUUCCGCCCUUCAGUGCUGCAGCUAACGCAGUAAGCACUCCGCCUGGGGAGUACGACCGCAAGGUUGAAACUCAAAGGAAUUGACGGGGGCCCGCACAGGCGGUGGAGCAUGUGGUUUAAUUCGCAGCAACGCGAAGACCUUACCAGUCUUGACAUCCUUUGACCACUCCUACAGAUAGAGCUUCCCCUUCGGGGGCAAAGUGACAGGUGUGCAUGGUUGUCGUCAGCUCGUGUCAUGAAAAUGUUGGGGUAAGUCCGCACGACGCUACCUUUAUUGCUAGUUGCCAUCAUUCGAUGGUCACUCUGCCAGACUGCCGGUGAACAACCGGAAGGAAGUG
This 1160-nucleotide ribosomal RNA is filed under the name Enterococcus faecalis. Its description in RNAcentral is "bacterial SSU rRNA". It matches the Rfam family "Bacterial small subunit ribosomal RNA", at positions 38 to 1175 of the family's 1533-position model. The record is from RNAcentral. Lineage: Bacteria; Bacillati; Bacillota; Bacilli; Lactobacillales; Enterococcaceae.